Molecule: transfer RNA, 21 nt
Filed under: Oreophryne sp. TNHC-GDC 18615
Lineage: Eukaryota; Metazoa; Chordata; Amphibia; Anura; Microhylidae
Description: partial tRNA-Phe
Source: RNAcentral
CCCUAAAACGUUCUACAGACA